RNAcentral lists this ribosomal RNA (223 nucleotides) under Enterobacter hormaechei. Its description in RNAcentral is "partial 23S ribosomal RNA". It matches the Rfam family "Bacterial large subunit ribosomal RNA", at positions 2126 to 2348 of the family's 2925-position model. The record is from RNAcentral. Lineage: Bacteria; Pseudomonadati; Pseudomonadota; Gammaproteobacteria; Enterobacterales; Enterobacteriaceae. RNAcentral also lists the same sequence under 1 other name.
GGUCCUUGAUGUGUAGGAUAGGUGGGAGGCUUUGAAGCGUGGACGCCAGUCUGCGUGGAGCCAUCCUUGAAAUACCACCCUUUAAUGGCUGGUGUUCUAACGUAGACCCGUGAUCCGGGUUGCGGACAGUGUCUGGUGGGUAGUUUGACUGGGGCGGUCUCCUCCCAAAGAGUAACGGAGGAGCACGAAGGUUGGCUAAUCCUGGUCGGACAUCAGGAGGUUA